CUCUGAGCAACCUGAUCUAGUUGAAGAUGUCCCUGUUCAGUGCAGGGGGUUGGACUGGAUGAUGUUUGAAGGUCCCUUCCAACACAAACUAUCUUAUUCCGUGAUAACCGCUCCGCCCGUAGCCGCCCGCUGGCCCCGCCCCCGCGCGGCGGACCGUUGAAAAGAAGCGGGAGGGGCUCGCGCACGCCAGCCCCCGGCCCUAGCGGCUGCUGGUCUCGCGCGCCAGCGAGCCCGGGUGACGGCGGCGCUGCCCGCACGGGGGCGCCCUACGGACAGGCAGAGCCGGGCAGAGCCGCCGCUCGGAAGUCUCCGGGGCCCGAGGAGGCCGGAGCCGGGCGGAGGAGUUCCCUCAGGGCAGCGGCCAAGCUACAGUAUGUACUGCUGUUGACAGAGCUCUGGCUAGGGCUGGGCCCAGCCCUAUUCAUCGGUAUGUUGGUUCAUUCCAAGUGUCUGCAUCUGUGAAACAAACACUAACUGGCCUUUGACUGGAAUUUUCUAUCCUGUUCUGAUACAGUCUUUAACAAACUCUCUGAUGCCUUUCAAGAGCUUUUUUAAAUAGAGCUUGUGCUAAUUAACUUAGCCUCACAUGUUAAGGCCAUACUUACCUACUUCAGGCUUUUAGAAUUUAAAAACAGGCCAGAAACUUUUCGGGUUUUUAAAGUCUAUUUGUUAGAACUGGCAGAAUAGAACUGCCCUUUCAGAGUACCAAAAUAAUUAUUAAAUUAACAGUAAUUGUUUCUCUUCCUUGCUGGGAACUUCACAUUCCUAGUAGCUUCCAGGUCUGGAAGAGCAGAGCUGACUCGUGGUAGUUUGGCCCUGAUGCUACUUUGAAGAAAAGUUUUAAAUUAUCAGAGACACUGUGAGCUGCCUGGUUUCCAGGACAGCCCAUCUUCCAAGCACUUUAUCCUGAUUUUUUCCUCUGGUGUUUUCACUUGAGAGAGAACUUCCUUCAUGGUCUGAGCUUCAGUCUUGUUCAUUCUGCUUUUGAAAACACAGUCCACCCUUGCUUCCAAGCUUCUGACCUUACUUCUCCCUAUGAUAUUUAAGUUGUCCUUCUAGCUGGCUGCAACAUUUUCCAUCUCAUCUAGGUUUUUAUAUAAGACUUUACAUGGGCUUUGGCAAAAAAACAUGUUUUCUUUUAUUUUCACCUCAGCAUAAGAUGUCUGUCCUUGCUUUUAUUCUGUGAUGUCUGUGGAUGCUUCUGGCCCAUCGUCCCCACACUGCUUCCCCGCUCUCCUUUUCAAUAAUUUUGUAAGUGUUUUCAAUACAUGUAAAGAAUGAUCACACCAUAAAAGCUGGCAAGGAGAAGCCUCAGGGAGAAGGCAGCAAAACCUGUGGUGUAUGCAUACUACCAUGCACAGAAGUUUCUUUAGAAAUAAGCAGCUCAUGUCCAUAUUUUAUUUCAACUAAAUUCUGUAAAUUACAGUUAGGACUUCUUUUCAAGGCAGCUCUUUUGCUUUCUUUAACUAGGCAGAACAGCAUGAAGUAGUUCUCCAAAAUAACCUUUGACUAAAGGGAAGGAAGAUAGGGCACUCACAAGCAGGAAUUCUUUAGGCCUAGGGCAUUUUCCUUUUAAAUGUGGGGGGGGAAGGAUACGCUUCCUACUCUCUUAGGAAACUGAAAACUCUGCCAAAUGGAUCUCAAUAGUUCAGGUUGUUUCACCUGUGGAAUUUAAGUAAUAUUUAGUUGAUGCUCAAGAGGAAACUCCUCAAAAGCAAGAACUGAGAAUAUUCUAAAGGCAGCAGAAGUUAUUUGCAUUAACACAAGAUAAUAGUUCACUUUUUUUUUUGGGAAAAAAAAAGGUCUAAAUAUUUGUGUGCUGCCUUAACCUGUUCAAAGGGAAAUGUUUUUUCAGCAGAAAUUGUUUCCUGUCCUUACAAAUGCUUAAACCACAGAGAACUAUUAGUAUCUCAGAAUUAAUUUCUGCUUCUCUCCUCCAAGGAAUCAAUUCUAAUAUAAACAGUUGCCGGGAAAAAAGAGGUGGCACAUCACUUUAAGCAGCUUCUUUCACCUUGAAGUUCCUGCUAGUUAUCUUCCCAAGUUCUAUUUACAGAGAAACAGGCCCUGGCAUGUCAGCAGCUUAACUCCUUAUUCUUCAUUUUGCAUUUAGAGACUUGUUUGCCAAGUUACUCAGAAGGAAAUUGCAUACAAAUCCAAGUUGAACAUUUCAUGACCUUGCAUGGUUCUAGAAAUACCCAAAUUUUAAGAACAAAGGUGUUUCCAGCAAGUUCCUAUUUCAGAGAUCUAUUUCUUCAGCUUCUGCUGGUGGCAGGAAGAAAACAGCAAGCUUAUAGUUGUAGAGAUUUUGUUUACAUAAUGUGAACAGGAAAAGUGGCCACAUUUACUUAACCCUCACAUUUUGUUGCAUACAAUAUUCUUUGUAACAUAAAGGGUUUAACUAUAGAGUUCUUACUCUUUUAAAGGAUGGAUUCUGAUAAAAAUAUGCUGCUGUAAAUUUUACGAAGUGCCACCAUGUCCUAAGUAAAUUCACGGUGCUAGUGCUAAUGCUUUUUUGUAAUUGAAAGGUUCAUUUUUAUUUCACUUUAGCUCAGAUGGAUAGAUGUAGUCUCUGGGAUUUGCCUUACUGUUAAUGAAUGGAAAGAGCGACUUUAAAGGCACAGAUAAAUCACUUCUAAAAAUGGUAACAUUCUUGUUCAGACCUAUACAUGAACAGUGUUACAAAGGUGGGUGUAGCAUAAACAGCAGCAUCUGCUACUAUGCCUGAUACCUGGAACCUUGGGCAGUGUAGAUACAUUUCCAGCAUUUUGGUAUCCAGCUUUCAAGUGGGUGGUACUGUGUAAUCCUGAAAGUAAUUUCUAAUUUUCCACUGCUAUGUAAACCCACACUGCUGAGAAGCCAGGUUUCAUCUGCAGUGAAGUUUCUGUUCAUAUAGGCCCUAUGUGCAGUAAAUUCUGGCCUGAAAACUAACUCUGCCAAGCGGACCCAUGCAUGCUCAAGUGCAGAAAAGACCAGGAGAACAGAAUUACAGCAGACAGCUCUUGAAAAAAGCAGUAUUUAUUUUAAAGUACAACCCAAAGUUGUAUCCUGUAAGAAAUGCACAAGGUAUCUUGUUUCUUCCACAAGUGUUGGCUGUGUGCAUUUCAGUUCAACUUAAAAAUGCAUUCAGGUUUACAAAUGUACAAACAGCACAGAAAGUGUAUUACAGUCUCAACAGAAUGCUCUUACAUUCAGCCAUUUGCUCUUAAGGUUUUGUGUUGGUUUUGUUGGGUUUUUUUGUAGAUUUUUAUUUUUUUUUUUACAUUCUUAGAA
Long non-coding RNA from Columba livia (rock pigeon), 3270 nucleotides. RefSeq lists it as uncharacterized. The record is from RefSeq and is a predicted model, not a curated record. NCBI's taxonomy places the organism in Eukaryota, Metazoa, Chordata, Aves, Columbiformes, Columbidae. The transcript is spliced from 2 exons.